This is a long non-coding RNA of Melanotaenia boesemani (Boeseman's rainbowfish), 267 nucleotides long. RefSeq lists it as uncharacterized. The transcript is spliced from 3 exons. Lineage: Eukaryota; Metazoa; Chordata; Actinopteri; Atheriniformes; Melanotaeniidae. The record is from RefSeq and is a predicted model, not a curated record.
ACAAAGGUGACAGUAAAGGCCUUGGAAGAAAUAAGGAACAUGACAACAAAAGACGCAGUGGCAGAGGUUGAUCAUGGACCACUGGAUGAGAGUGAAAUGGAGGCCAUGGAGAUGGCAAUAAGGAAUGACAUGGAGAGGCGUGGGCUUGUGUAAAAACGAUCCAAUAAAGGUUUCUUAAAUCAGAUUCACCUGUGUUUUUCAGAUUCAGUAGGCUCUGUAGAAUAAUCUAGGACAGGUUUGACGGCACUGAGUAUCAAUAAAACGGAG